GACGAACGCUGGCGGCGUGCCUAAUACAUGCAAGUCGAGCGGACUUUCAAGAAGCUUGCUUUUUGAACGUUAGCGGCACACGGGUGUGUAACACGUGGGCAACCUCCCUGCAAGACGGGGAUAACUCCGAGACACCGGGGCUAAUACCGGAUAAUAUCUUCCUUCGCAUGGAGGAAGGGUGAAAGGCGGCGCUAGCUUCCGCUUGCGGAUGGGCCCGCGGCGCUUGAGGUAGUUGGGGAGGAAACGGCUCACCAAGGCGACGGUGCGGAGCCGGCCUGGUGGGGUGGUCGGCCACACUGGGAAUGAGACACGGCCCAGGCUCCUACGGGAGGGAGCAGGAGGGGAUCUUCCGCAAUGGGCGGAAGUCUGGCGGAGCAACGCCGCGGGAGCGGAGAAGGGCUUCGGAUCGUGAAGGUCUGUUGUCAGGGAAGAACAAGUACCGUUCGAACAGGGCGGGACCUUGACGGUACCUGAACAGAAAGCCACGGCUAACUACGUG
Molecule: ribosomal RNA, 499 nt
Filed under: uncultured bacterium
Lineage: Bacteria
Description: partial 16S ribosomal RNA
Rfam family: Bacterial small subunit ribosomal RNA
Source: RNAcentral